Molecule: long non-coding RNA, 372 nt
Filed under: Homo sapiens (human)
Lineage: Eukaryota; Metazoa; Chordata; Mammalia; Primates; Hominidae
Description: HSALNT0343905
Source: RNAcentral
CAGGUCAUUCAACAUUUAUUCAACCAAAAAUACUAAGUCAGCUCUAUACAAACUAAUGGAAGGAUACAGCUAUGCAAAUAUAGAACACUAAAGUGUUACAUGACAGAUGUAUGAGCAGAACUGGGAAGAAAGGACCCUGAAAAGUUAGCUGGUUCCAAGUGACCCUCCAAGGGGAAGAGUGCUGGAUUCAGAGCCCACCUCAGGGGAAGACAGGACCCUCUCCAAGAUGGUUUCCCUAGAAGCUACUACCUCUCCCUGGAGGGUGGAGAUAUUUGCUGGUCAAAGCAAGAAGGCCCUCUGCAGAUGCUGACACCUUGAUAUUGGACUUCCCAGAUUCCAGAACUCUGAGAAAUAAAUUUCUAUUUUAAAUAA